Megalobrama amblycephala (Wuchang bream) is the source of this 9839-nucleotide long non-coding RNA. RefSeq lists it as uncharacterized. The transcript is spliced from 5 exons. NCBI's taxonomy places the organism in Eukaryota, Metazoa, Chordata, Actinopteri, Cypriniformes, Xenocyprididae. The record is from RefSeq and is a predicted model, not a curated record.
AUCACUUUGUCAUGGAAGAUCAAGACAUCUUGAUUAUGGAGUAUCCACGUUCCUACAUCAGCCUGUUUGAUUAUGUCCAACGAAACAGCAGUAACCUGACCGAAACCGAGGUGAAACUCAUCAUUCAGGGGCUCAUUGUUGCUCUUCAUCACUGCAUGAGUCGUGGUGUUUAUCGUCGGCACGCAUAUGAAAAACAUCCUUGUCCACACAAAAACCCUGCAUGUAAAGCUGAUGGACUUUGGAGGCGCACUGCUCGUCGAAGAAAGACGAGAAGAUGAACCUCUAUUAAUCAGUGCAAUCAGAAAAUAUGCUGAAUGGGCAACAACUGAGGACUUACGCAUACUGCUGGAUCUGAUGGUCCCGAGAAUAACUCGUUGCUUUUGGAUAAGACCACGCGUGUCCAAAGAAUGCCUGGAUCUUCUUGAGCACCUUCAUGAUGUAAAGUCACGGAUGACGUUACAGGCUAUGUUGAAGCAUGACUGGUUUAAAAGAAAAACUGAAGCAUAAGAAAAGUUCCCCUGCAUUGGCAGCUCAGGGCCUAUAGUUCAGCUGUAUGGGUCAUCAGCCGGGGACGGUUCACGCUUUAACCCUGGAGCGUGGAUAAGACCACGUGUGUCCAAAGGUGAGACCAACAACAGGUUCCCCUGCAUUGGCAGCUCAGGGCCUAUAGCUCAGCUGCGGGGUCAUCAGACUGGGACCCCGGGGACGGUUUACGGCUUUAACCCCGGGACGUUCCCCUUCCACCCCUGCAUGAUGACACUCAUGGCAACUGUCCUCUACUUGUGAACUGUUUGUGUGCCACCAACCCUCUCAGAACAUUAUCGCGUCCCACUGAUAGCGGCCUUGUGCGAGCCCCACCUUGCAGCCUGACAGGAUGUGCUGGAGGCUUACAUUUGGACUCCGUUCUUCCAGGCCAGACCACCAUGUUUCAGACAAGCGUCGUGGCAAGCCCAGCCAUUUUCCUGAAUUACUGUGGACAGUGGAUUUCACACAACUUCAGUGUCACACAGUUUAACGCCACACCUUGUACUUGCCUGGAAGCUGGCUUUAAUCAAUCCUUCCUUAGUGAAAAAAUAGCACAAUUUAUUCAAAUGUAAUUUAGUGUAACUAAAUGUAUUUGUGGCACACUGUAAAUUGUUAUACUUAAAGUCUGUUCAAGUGGAUCAGCUCAUUUUGUACUAAAUGCAUUUUAGUUGUCCAAAAGCAGUGCUGAAGUUCAGGUUGUAUUAAUUGUAAACUUGAAGUGUGCUAAUGGCUUCAUUAUUGUGUGAUUCUAAUACAAUAAAGUGAUCUUUAAAAAUAAUGGCACAGCUUAGGAAUUUGCCUUUUACUGGUAUUUUACAGACACCCCCUAGUAUACCAGUAAAGCUCACUUAUCUAGAGAUCAGAGAGACAUUGGGAACAGAUAUAUGUACACCCAUGGAUUCAAACCCGGGUCUGUAAAUGUUAGAAAGUCAUGCAAAUAUUUCCAUUUUGCUGCUAAACUUCACAGUGAACAAGCGCAAUAGAAGUGCAAUAAUUCUAAAAUAUACAUUUCGCUAAAAUACGAGGCGUCUAAUCGACGGUAAUCCAUCCAUAUCAGCUGUGCCAACACGCAUAAACUAGAGCGGGAUUGCAUGACACUUGUACGUACAAUCAAUCAUUUCUCCUCUCAAACUCACUAGAGCAUGUCCAAAGCAACAGGCCGGAGUUAUGAAAUAUUCGGUGUCUGAGAUUUCCGGUGACACUGGGCGGAGCUUACAUGAAUAUUCACGAGGCUACAACUGUUUUGAUUUUAUUUUAGUUCGUUUGAGGAGAUAACUUGUAUAAAUGUAUCUGUGGUUGCAUAACAAAAGUUUCAGUUGUGAUUGUGUCAUUCCCUAUUGCUUUCUCAGAUCGCCUGCAUAACUUUAACCAGGCAUUAUUAUUUUUAAAACACAUUGAGAGUUAGAUUUAUGUUCUGUUUAUAUUUUUGACAUGCAUUAAUUAAUGUAAACCUUCUUUAUCCUUUUCUGCAAAACACACAAUGCUCUCUAUAUGAACAGAAACAUGAUGAGACAGUGAUAUUAGCUUCCCUGCAGCACUUUCACAAGGUUUUAUUUUAAUGCGCUUUCCACAACAAUUAAAAUGUUAAAAUUGAAUUACAAGUGGUUAAAUUGAUCAGCUACAAAACUAAAAGUUACUAAUGCAGGUUUUAUUUAAAAAUAUUUAUAUGGAGAAGACAAUUGGCAAAAGUGUGAGGAAUAUUAUUGAUAUGUGGAGAAUCAGACAUAUAUACAUACUACUGUGAUUGUUCUGUCAUUUCAUAAUUGCUUGCUCAGUUGGUAAAUAUUUUUAAAGAGACUUUAUUAAAUCCUAAAGUUAAGUGUUACUUUUUUCAUAUUAUAAGGAAACAUUCUGAAUCUUUUUUCCCACAAAAGGAUGCAUUUCAUUGACAAAAAAAAAAAAAAAAAUGUAAUGUGGAAAAAACAUGAAGCACUGUGAAUCAGGAUUCAGUUUAACAGUGUUGAUAUGAAACUAUAUGGAACUAAAUGAUCAAACCUGCAGUAUAUUCACAAUGAAAUGUAUUAGUUCUAUUCUACAAGCUUUCCAUAACAAUUAAAAUUUUAUUUAUGUUAAAUUAGCUGCUAAAAUAAUAGACCAUGUAGUAAUUUGCAUAUCUGUAAUAUAUCAAAGAUGAAAGUAAAUAAUGAGAGUAGUUUCAUUUUGAAUAAAAAAAGAGCAACUGAUUCUGUGUUGAAAUUUUAUUCACAAAUGAGGAGAAGUCACGACAUAUAAUAUGACAUAUAUAAUUAGCAAAAACACUUGUAUUUAAACACACAUUAACACACUUUACACAGGGUCUUUGGUUUGGUCUGCUCUUGUGAUCCCAGUGAUUCCAGCCUUUGAUACUGACACAUUCAAUCUGAAAUAUAUAAUAAAAUGACAUUACAACAAACAUGUAUUAUUAAAAUACUUUUGUCUGGUGUACAGGGAUAUUUAUUGGCAAAAGUCAUAUUUGGGAAUUAAAGAAUAUUGGCUAUAGAUAUUAUAUUAGUUAUCACAUGCGUAAUUCACAGUGGCCUAUUUGGUUUGUCAUUAAACUAUAUUUAAAGUACAUUAACAUGUUUUCUUGCAUGUGUGCAAUUUUUGAAACAUAUUAAAUAUAGAAAUUCAAGUCUACCCAGAUUAGAAGUGCUUCUGCAAACUAGGAAAGUUCACUGCUGCCUUCACCACAGGAGUUUACAAUUAAUAUUAUUAUGCUACCAUACAUUUCGGCAAACUUUUAAAACUAUAUGCUUAAAAGACUGAAGGUAAUACAGAAACAACAAAAAUAGGCUACUUAAAACGCUAUUGGCUCGUUUAGCGAAUCCUAACGACACCUCUGGCGAAUCAUUGGCUGUGUUCAUAUCAAACAUAGCUAACACAUGACACGACAUAACAUAACACAAAAUAGCUUAUAUAUAAAAUAUUGUGCAUCAGUAACAGUUAGAAUAUAAGCUUGACAUCGUUUAACACUGAAACAUAGGAUUAUUACCUUUAAUGUAAGCCGAAGAGUGUGCGCUAACAUUUUCAGUGGCGCUUUAACUCAAAACAGGAAACUCAUGAAUAUUCAUGUAAGCUCCGCCCAGUGUCACCGAAAAUCUCAGACACCGAAUAUUUCAUUACACUGGGUUAUUGUCAGACCGCCCGCUCCCGCCUAUUGCACUCUAAAGUUACCGACCGCAAUCCGCCUUUCAUUCAAAAUUCAUUGUGGGACUGUCUCGUAAUGGCUGAAAUUCUGCACCAAGGCUGAAUUUCUGGCAAGAGACUUCAGAUACAGUACUUGGGACCACUUAGGCCUAUAUAAAAGCAUCCAAAAAGCAGCAUGUCAUGGGACCUUUAACUCGUCAGAUCUGAACUCAAGACUGAAGAUAGAAAGUUUCUGUAAUAGAGCCAGACCAGAGCAAAGCAUGCUGGGAACUGCCCAGUUUCGGUUCAUGCAACACAAAUGAUGAAGUGAACUUCAGUUUGACGUGUUUAAGUGGAUUUACUCCAUUAAAUCAGGACAGAAUGUGCAGUAAUUGUGUGCUUUAACUCAUUUUAAUGAAGUUCAUUUAACAAGCAGCAGAAAUCAUGUUUACAGUCACUUCCCAAAAGAUAUUUCUAUCUGAGAGCUUUAUUUUGAGUGUAAUAAUUGCCACAGCUUCUGGAAGCCCUUCUCCUUCAUAUAUGCUUCCCUGGGUGCUUCUCAAUACUCCAAUGGAUGCUUCCUCAUUUUUUAGGUUUUUAGCUCCAUCCUCCAGCCUGUGACCUGGAAAAUGAUCAAAGAAAGUCUCGGAGGCCAUUUUAAUUCUAUAAAUGCACCGCAAGAAGGUGAGGAACCAGGAAGCCCGAGGAGCUUUGAGCGAGGAUGCGCAGAUGCAUAGACAUCUAAUACUAUUAGUUUCUGUUAUGCUAAUUAUGAAUUGUUAAUAGAUUAAUACUAGUCCCCAGAUCCCUCAAGAUUCGAGCACAGCUGAUGACGCUUUAAACUGAUGCUCAAGGGAUCAAGAAUAUUCCAAUGUACCCGUCCUCGUUUUCUUUUCUUGCAUCCUCUCGUUGCAUCUAUGGGGUGAAGCUGAGGCGCAAGGAAAGAGAUAAAUAAGAAAAGAAAAGCACACUGUCUCGUCUUCUCUACAAACACACUGUUUUUAAAGAAUGAUGAUGUGACUGUACGUCAGGUGACCUGUAAAUGCGGAAAAAACGUUUCCAUUGCAGUUUUGCGAAAUAUUCCUUUUUCGAAUUGCCUGAAAAACCACCUCGUGAAUGUAAACACUUUUUUGCAAUGUUUUGAAGGGUACAUAUAAAUAAAUGCAUAUUGUAAGACAAUGAAAGUGUUUUUUGAUCUUGCAUGCCUGUAAACAUGUUGUUAAGGACUCAAACAAAAAUAGGAACCUUUCAAAUCCCAUAAUAGGGGAACUUUAAAUUAAUGAUUAAUCUACAUUUUGUAAUGAUGAACAAGAAAUACUGACAUUUUAUUAAUAAAAUAUGUCAUGAUUAAACCCAAAAACACAACAUAUACUGUACAUCUAUUCAAUAUAUAUAAAACAGAGUUUAAAAAGCUUAAAUUAUAUAAUAACAUCUAGUCCUGCUGGUAAGUUGAUAACUAAGUUUGGAUGGUUUGAGCCCAAGAUUGAACUAUAAACUACACACAAGUUUACUUAUUUUGUCUUUCAGCUCCUAGUUGUGUUAAUCGAGUCAAAUAUGUGUUAUUUGUGACGUUUAGAUGAAGAGUGUGUUAAUUGGCCUGCUUGUGAACUCUGAACUUUAUUUUCAUGUCUAUUUCAUUUAAGACUUCUCAAGCAACAUUGAUGCACUGUAUUCUGAUCAGCCUUUUGGUGCUGUUUGUCCCACGUAUGUGUUUGAUUCGGUUUUGUCAUGUUCUGUGUUUAAAAUAAUAUUAGUUGACUGUUGGCUAUUAGCCCACAUGCUCUAUCGUCUCACAUGUGCUCUCCUGUGUAACUGCGCCAUUUUAACCCAUUUGUGCCCAAGUUUUUCUGAAUGGUUUCAUGCAUAUAUUCCUGUUAAAUAGUGUCCUAUGUGAACAUGUUCUGCAUUUAUUUUCCCCAGGUUUUUGUUUUUUUUCUUAAAAAACCUAUUUGUAUGUGUGGCAACUAUAUGUAGCGGUGUAACAACAUAUCCCUGCUACAUCUAAAAACUGAGGUAUAUCACUGAUGUAUUUUGAGUUUGCACGCUUCACCUGUGGUGUGUGUGUGAUUGUAAAUGUCUCAGAGUUUUGUUCAUUCUGUGCCCAUCAUACGUUAUUUCUGCCACUUUUCAUUAAAACAUGACGUUUUAUUUCUCAUUUCUUUUCGUUUCGCAUUGUCUCUAAUAUUGAGGUAUUUAGUCCACAAACAUGACAGUAUUCUUACCGCGACUGAGGCCCUGUCCCAAAUGGCACCCUAAACAUUCACGGCCUUUCUACGACUCCGCACUUUCGUGACGUAACGUUGCUUUGAGUGUCAGGAAGAAGUCUGCUGCGGAGCUCGCACCAGUGCAGGCUCAGCAAAAGUGCGCAUCGAGGGCGCAUAACGGCCGCAAAGGGUGCGCUCGCAAACACCCUUCUGAAGCCUAAAAUUGAAAAAUGGGACACUGUACGGUCUAGUGGACUUAACGGACAUGCGCACGCAGAAGCCACUGUAAGUCCACAAGACCGAAAGUGCAUAGAAGUGUGCCAUUUGGGACAGGGCCUGAUUUGGCUCAGACCCGCUCACACGUGCUCAAUCGUUCUCUUUCUAUGAAACCUGUAAACCAGUUCUAACUCUAUAGCGACAAUAACUCUAUAGCGGUUGACCAGAGCACUGCAAUUAUUUCUCAUUUAAACUACAAUCCAAUGGAUUUUCCCCGAUUUUCCCACACAUGAUUUCUGUCCUCUGCACGGCAAUUAUUCUUUCUGCGCGGCUGCGGCAUCAGAAGUGCGUGGUCGUGCACGUGCGCAGCUUAGAGGGAACAUUGAUAAUAACUGUGUAAUAUGUUUGUAUUAUUAUUAUAUUAUUCGUGUCAUUUUUUGUAAUAUUAUUUUUAACAAGUCAUCUACGUAAUAAUUAUAUUACAUCAUAUUAGUGUGUCACAGUGUUUGUGUACUUAGCACGAGAAUUUAUUUAUUCAAAUUUUAUUAUAGUAUUAUUAUAUACUGUACCAUUACUAUUAUUGUGUGAAAUUAAUAUUAAAUUACUUUUACAGAACAUAGUAUGUUGUAACAAUCAUUAUGUUGGUUUAUGUUAUGUCUUUAUUAUUAUCUUAUUUAAGAACAUUUUAUUAAGUGGAAAAAUACAUUGUCAUGCAUGGUUGUGUUUCUAAUGUAAUACACAGCUUAAACAUAGUUUAAUAGGCUUUAAUUAGUCAACCACAAUUAUUUCAGGUUAUUAAGAUUUUAUUUGCACAAAAGAUGUCGUCUUACUUUUUAUUUGUCGUCUAUCGUCAAAAAAGUCCCCACUGUUGCUUGACCCUUGAUAUUCAACAAUGUUUUUGAUCUGCACUGACAUCGUUGUAUUGUAUGCUAAUUGAACUGAGCUGGAUGAUGACAUCGCUGUUUUCUCUAGUGCUGAUAAAUUAACUAAAUUAUUAACUAUUAAUUUUUACAACCAAAUUUAACAAUACUGAAGAUGAAUACUGACACUAUUUUCUUUCAGAGCUGCUGUGCAGCCAAAACUAUACACCAGUUAUCACUGUAAAGCUGCUUUGACACAAUCUGCAUUGUAAAAAGAGCUGUAUAAAUAAAGGUGACUAGACUUGUUUCAGCAGUUGGUCAAAAGUGACGCUAUAAUGCUUUAGUUUUUAUACACAUAGUGAGAAAAACAAAUGUAACCGUGGCAAGUGAAGAAAACACCAUGAGAUGGAGAUGAGGAAGAAACCGGGGGUAAUUGUGCUGCGUUCAGUCACUAACAUUAUCUUCUCUGUAACCCAGAUGAUGCCGGCAGUGGCAGGAACAGUGAAGAGUGCUGAGGUGCGUUCAUCCAUUAAACAAUCCCUUGCUGAAGAAGAAGCAGUUCAUCCUCCAUGAGGUCGACUGUGGAGGACUGGAGCUUCAUCACUGUCAACAUAUCUUGAGAGGAUCAGAGGGGCAGGACAAAGAUCCUGCAGUAAAGAGAAAUGAAUUCUGGUUUAUGUUAUGUUAAAUAGUCAGAAAUUAAUCAUGUGAUAAAUCUUAAACUCAAUCAGUUUUGUAUUAAAUGGAAACUUUUCUAGCUGGACAGUGUGUAUUGUAUUGUAUUGUAUUGAUACAGUAUACUGUUUCACAGUUUGUUGUUUAGAAUGACAUUUUAUAAUUAAAUCCAACAUUACUCUUGACAAAUCAUGCAUUAUUUGAAAGUCCAAAGACUCAAGUUUUGAUGUUUGAUAACUAUUUGCUUAUUAUCUGAAGCGACAUAUGUAACCCAUGUUAAAUGUGGAGCCUAAAGAAAAUAAAUAAUAAAAUUGUAUAAUCUACUAAUUACACUUUUAAUUAAAAAGUUUAAACGUUCUAUUAAUAUGCAUCGUAAAUUAAUUGUGUAUAAAUAAAAAUAAUUCGUAUUAUAAUUAAGCGCAGAACACGUCAUGUAUUACACGAACACGUCGUGUAUGACGUAAGCAGAUGCCUCACGGAAAUGCGCGAGACUCGCUGAACACGAGACGAAAGAGCGAUACUAAGGGAUUAAAAAGGUUUAUGUUGUUAUAAUUAAUUUAAUAUGGGUAUGAGUAACUUUAUAAUACUUUAUGUUUUAUGAUGAUGAAUGGUUUUAGAGUGAUGAUUGCUGAUUUAAGCGUGGAUGAUAGCGGAUUGUGAUCCUCUGAAUCUGAAGCGGGUGUUUAUCAAACUGAAACUCGGGAAUCGGUGAGUUUAUUGAUCGAGUUGAGAAAAUCUCUGGUUGAUUUGAGAUGGCGGGUCAUCCAAAAAAGAAGAAGAAUGCUGAUUCCUGAACCUGGGAAAAAGACACUUUUGCUGCAUCACGAGGAUUUCUUUAAUUCUUUAACUUUGUUCAAUUCUCUUUCGUUCUUUAAACUGGUAUUAUUUACCCACAAUUUGGUUGAAUUGUGGGUAUAUAAUAUUGUACCGUGUUUGAUGGUUUAUUUGUUUUGUUUAAAACGGAAUAGAAAGUAAUAAUGCUGAAAGCAAAAUAGAAUAAGACCCUAAACCCCAAAAUUAAAGAGACAGUGAAGCUUAAGAGCUGUCCAAAAUACAGCUAAGAUAAAUAAAAGUCUUACUAAAAUCUACAUACACAGAAAUAGUGUAGAUAACUUACAUAAGAUUUGUUUCUCUUUUUGAAACAAUUUAAACAAAAGAAAAGAAGAAAACCAAAGACUGAGAAUUAUUAUUUUGUGUAUAUAUAUAUAUAUGAGUAUCUUCCUCACAUGGUUUUGUGAUUCAUUUACUGCUAGUAUUAAUUCUGUUCUCCACUAAGCUAGAAACUGGUCCAUUGCUCCAGCUUACUUUGAGGGCCCUUGUUUCUCAUACCAUUUGUAAUUGUUUCAUAAAGUCCUAAUGGAGCAUGGCUGUCACCUGGUGGUGUAACACCUAAUCAAAUGUCACUCGUAUUUAAUUCUUACUUUUGCAUUAAACUAGGACUGGGUGAUAUGGCAAAAAUCUAAUCUCGAGAUUUUUUCCCCAUAUUGAUCGAUAACGAUAUAUAAUCUGUUAAUGCUGCCAGUUUUAAAAGUAUCCCAACUAUGACUGAAGCCACAAAAAUUUGAGGGUUCAUUAAUUACAUUUUCAAGUAUAGUUUAUUAACAAAACAGAUUACACAUUUGGCCUUAAAAAAUGUAAGACAACCACUUACUAAAAUAAAUUUAAAACUAAAACAUGUUGCAAAAGAAGGUAAAUGAGAGUAAAUGUGCUAAAUGUAAACAUAAAAUUUGUUAAGGCAAUUACAGUUUUUUUUUUUUCUUUUCCAGAAAGACAGUUUUUUUUUCUUUUCCAGAAAGAUAAGUCUGUCUACAUCGUCUAAAGUAGCUUGCUAUGUGCUCUGAUGUUCAUUCAGCAUCUGAGCCUCGGCUCUGGAUCUCACAGUCUCAACCUUGUCAUCUUUGAUGUAAAGCAUCUUGAAACGAGGAUCAACAAUGGAUGCUAUGUUCAGGAGGUCAUCAGUGGCUGCAUCAUCAUCAUAUUUCUCAUUCAGAUAGCCGAUGACAGAAGCUAGUUCUCUCAGGGUUCCCACUCGUCCUGGAAAACCUUGAAAACCUGACAAAAUUUCCAGUCCUGGAAAACACAUGGAAAAUUUAUAGUUUAUGAAGGCUUGUUUUCUUUUACAGAUAAAAUGAGCCAAAAAGAGAUUUAUCUCAGACUGAAAGGUCAAAAAUGAUUAAAUUCCCACGAGAAGGAUGCAAUACUAGAAAUUGCAGUUAAGGCAUGACCAUUGGACAGCAAAAUGCUCAUUAAGUCA